RNAcentral lists this ribosomal RNA (440 nucleotides) under uncultured bacterium. Its description in RNAcentral is "partial 16S ribosomal RNA". It matches the Rfam family "Bacterial small subunit ribosomal RNA", at positions 339 to 795 of the family's 1533-position model. The record is from RNAcentral.
CUACGGGCGGCUCCAGUGAGGAAUAUUGCACAAUGGGGGGAACCCUGAUGCAGCAACGCCGCGUGGAGGAUGACGCAUUUCGGUGUGUAAACUCCUUUUAUAUGUCAAGAAAAUGACGGUAGCAUAUGAAUAAGCACCGGCUAACUCCGUGCCAGCAGCCGCAGGUAAUACGGAGGGUGCAAGCGUUACUCGGAAUCACUGGGCGUAAAGGACGCGUAGGCGGGUUGGAAAGUCAGGUGUGAAAUCCUACAGCUUAACUGUAGAACUGCACUUGAAACUUCUAAUCUAGAGUAUGGGAGGGGGAGAUGGAAUUAGUGGUGUAGGGGUAAAAUCCGUAGAUAUCACUAGGAAUACCUAAAGCGAAGGCGAUCUCCUGGAACAUUACUGACGCUAAGGCGUGAAAGCGUGGGGAGCAAACAGGAUUAGAUACCCUCGUAGUC